GCUUACGGCCAUACCACUUUGAACACGCCCGAUCUCGUCCGAUCUCGGAAGCUAAGCAGGGUCGGGCCUGGUUAGUACUUGGAUGGGAGACCGCCUGGGAAUACCAGGUGCUGUAAGCU
Molecule: ribosomal RNA, 119 nt
Filed under: Sparus aurata (gilthead seabream)
Lineage: Eukaryota; Metazoa; Chordata; Actinopteri; Spariformes; Sparidae
Source: RNAcentral